Molecule: ribosomal RNA, 253 nt
Filed under: uncultured bacterium
Lineage: Bacteria
Description: partial 16S ribosomal RNA
Rfam family: Bacterial small subunit ribosomal RNA
Source: RNAcentral
UACAUAGGGGGCAAGCGUUAUCCGGAAUUAUUGGGUGUAAAGGGUGCGUAGACGGAGAAACAAGUUGGUUGUGAAAUCCCUCGGCUCAACCGAGGAACUGCAACCAAAACUAUUUCCCUUGAGUGUCGGAGAGGAAAGUGGAAUUCCUAGUGUAGCGGUGAAAUGCGUAGAUAUUAGGAGGAACACCAGUGGCGAAGGCGACUUUCUGGACGAUAACUGACGUUGAGGCAUGAAAGUGUGGGGAGCAAACAGG